Setaria italica (foxtail millet) is the source of this 860-nucleotide long non-coding RNA. RefSeq lists it as uncharacterized. The transcript has 3 exons. NCBI's taxonomy places the organism in Eukaryota, Viridiplantae, Streptophyta, Magnoliopsida, Poales, Poaceae. The record is from RefSeq and is a predicted model, not a curated record.
GGCGGCAAGGAAGGCACCAGCAACCAACACACUGCCCUGCAGCAAAGGCUAUAUAAGGGGCAGCUUGUCUCGUUGAGAUCCCAACCAAGACAGCCACCUUUACCUACGAGUUGUAGAAUGUGCAUCAUCCUGCUCUAGAGUCUUCAGAAGCAAGAAAGGAUGGAGAACAACAGCAACAGCCAGCCGCCUCCACCACCAGGCUACCCGACCGCGUCAGGUGCAGAGCAGCAGGGAGGGCGGAAGGGGCGCCGGGGGAAGACGACCUCUCGCGGAGAGAAAGGAUUCAUCGAAGGAUGCAUCGCGGCGCUGUGCUGCUGCUGGAUCUGCGAGAUGUGCUGCGACUGAUAAGCCGCCGGCCUUCACCGUGCUGCAUACAGAGCGUCCAUUCUGAAAGCAGAGGCCUCCGCUUUCAGAAGGGAGGCGUCGCGUCGUGUUGAUCUACUUACGAUUCCAGCUGUUGCUUGAUGUUUGCGUAGGGAGCGAGCUUAUUAAUAACUGAAGAAGACGACGAUGCAUCAUCAGUGUCUCUGUGUUGUGCUCCAGUAGUAGUACUUGUACCUCCACACCACACCCUGUAUGCUACCGUUGCUUGUAUUGAAGGUGCCGGUCUCUUCUUCCCAACAUUAAGAUAACCCAGGUUCAUUAAUACCACCAAAAAAUAAGUUUAAGUAUUGGUUCAUUAUUACCCAGUUAGAGCAACUAAGUAAGAACUACCCUACAUUAAGAUCCUACAUUAAGAUAAUCCAGGUUGAACAAGGUGCUAGGCACACCUUAAAUAGGACCCAUCAUAUUUAUAUACUUAAAGUGCAUAGCAUAUGUGUAUUGAACAUGAAAGUAAAGGUGGUUUGUAUAGGAUCAAA